GUAGGGAAUAUUGGGCAAUGGAGGCAACUCUGACGCAGCCAUGCCGCGUGCAGGAAGAAGGCGCUACGCGUUGUAAACUGCUUUUAACCGGGAAGAAACCCCAGGACGUGUCCUGGGUUGACGGUACCGGAGGAAUAAGCACCGGCUAACUUCGUGCCAGCAGCCGCGGUAAUACGAAGGGUGCAAGCGUUAUCCGGAUUCAUUGGGUUUAAAGGGUGCGUAGGCGGAGCGUUAAGUCAGUGGUGAAAUCUUGCAGCUUAACUGUAGACUUGCCAUUGAUACUGGCGCUCUUGAGUGCGCUUGAAGUGGGCGGAAUGUGCCGUGUAGCGGUGAAAUGCUUAGAUAUGGCACAGAACACCAAUUGCGAAGGCAGUUCACUAAGGCGAUACUGACGCUGAGGCACGAAAGCGUGGGGAUCGAACAGGAUUAGAAACCCGUGUAGUCC
This 445-nucleotide ribosomal RNA is filed under the name uncultured bacterium. RNAcentral's name for it is "partial 16S ribosomal RNA". It matches the Rfam family "Bacterial small subunit ribosomal RNA", at positions 354 to 796 of the family's 1533-position model. The record is from RNAcentral.